This 23-nucleotide non-coding RNA is filed under the name Arabidopsis thaliana (thale cress). Lineage: Eukaryota; Viridiplantae; Streptophyta; Magnoliopsida; Brassicales; Brassicaceae. The record is from RNAcentral.
GGUGCUGAGUGUGCUAGUGCAUC